CUCUUUCUGCGUUCUUGGUGUUUGAACAUACUCUCCGCAUAGUUCUAUCUCCUGUCUCCUGCUCUCAGGGUCUUCAUUUGGUUUUACAUAUGAAUCCUACUUUUGCUGACCCUUUUCAGUCUGACCCAUUCUGACUCUUUGUGUCUCCUGUCUAUUUUGCCUGUGUACCUGUGGGAGUCUGGCUUUUUCCUGUUGGCCUCCUUCAGUUGUCUCCUGGACCUCAAAGGACUCUGCACCACCUAUGAGGAGGACGAGGAAAAAUAGUGCACAUCUCAGAGUGAUACUAGAAGGAUAAAACAACAAUACAUGUAGACUGCUCAGUGUGGAGACUUGCAGACUGUAAGCAUGAGAACAUCAGAGCUGAAAGGUUGGUGUUCACCUGGUAUUCCACCACACAAUUAGGGGUUCACAUCAAAUCAGCAGCGACUGAGCUGACUGUCCUUUAAACCCACUGAAUAUAAGUUGUCUGAUACCUUAAGACAGGCAAUAGUAUGGCGUGGACACUAAUGGAACAAGUGAGUGAAGAUGGAGAUGCUGAUACUGUAGGAGAGAAGCAGAUCAGUGGAUAAAUCAGGCUACAGACUGAUUCACUAUUUACAUUUAAGAGCUCACAAGAAGCUGGAAUAUAUGAUUUUUGAUGUAACUUGGAAAGACAAUAGACUAGAUCAAUAAGCAUUCCGGUGCUGUAGAAAUAUUAAAAAUGAUAAGAGGCUGACAAAACUGUGAAACAGUAAUCUGUGUGGCAGAUGGAUUGUUAAAGGAGACCCAGAAGUCACACAGUGCCAGAUCCAUUGAAUAAGGUGGAUGAGGACACGGAGCAAUGUUUUAAUGAGCCUGCAGCAGUAUUCACCAUUUUCCUGAUCACCCGUCAUAAAGACACUCAAAAGAAGACUUCUAAAACUGCUUCAGAAAGUGAUAAGAACAAUGGUGUAAGUGCCCUGAAAGCCAGGAGAGAAUCUUGAGGGGGAUUACUGGCAAUGUGUCCUUUAUGUAAUAUAUUUCUAGAAAAACUUAAUAUUCACCAUGUAUUUUGAUCACACUGCAUACAUUACAGGAUUGUCAAGGACCCUCUCUAUGUUACAGUAUGCUUCUCACUGCUUUGGCUGGGUGCAGCCUUUUUCAUAAGCAAGGGACUUCCUCUGUAAUAGUAGUGAAGUUGAGGCUAUGCCACCUUAAAAUGCACUGACUAACACUAAAGAGAGGUUCCUGGUUAUAGAGAAGCACCACAUAACAGCACUUUCAUCUGUUUCUCUCUUUUCUAUGCUAUUAAAAUGUUGUGCAGCUGGAGCUCUAGACACGUUAGAGAGAGAAGGCAGGGGAUUUGUGUGGGAGAGAAGACAGGAGACAAGGGUUCCAAAAUGCAAGAAGCUAUUCAAGAAGGUCCUGUGGAUGAUGUAUUCUGGUCAUGGUUUGACAGACUGGAAUUGAAAAGCGAGCAGGUAGACAGGAGUUUCUGAAAACUUUAAGGUGUGAGGAACAGGCAAGUGAGAGACAGGGUAGAUGGUGAUUAAAGGGAUUUGCUUUAGAAUCAUGCCACCUUGAAUCCAAGUCAUGCCACCUACACUUGGAGCUCUUUAACCUUGAAAAAAUUGGUUCCAAACUCUGAGGGUCAGUCUCUUCACCUGCAAUAGUACUUACAGUUUGUGUCUGGGAUUGAGAGAUUUAUUAAGUGAGAAAGUGGAGUGCUCAGCACAUGGGACUGCUCAGUAUAUGUGAGCUCUUGUUGUAAUGCUCAGGUAUGAUGUGACUGUCUUGCCUAUUUUUAAAUGGUUAUUAUUGACAUAAAUACAUACUUUUGUACUUUAUUUGAACAGAUACAAAUAAUUUUUACAAACCAUCGGAAUCUCCACUCAUAUUGAAAUCCAUCAUUGCAUGGCUAAAUUUUCCUUCUUCAUUCUGUUUAACUGCCAAUUGCUGAGUCAGACU
Molecule: long non-coding RNA, 1926 nt
Organism: Heterocephalus glaber (naked mole-rat)
Lineage: Eukaryota; Metazoa; Chordata; Mammalia; Rodentia; Bathyergidae
Source: RefSeq, a predicted model, not a curated record